This 29-nucleotide non-coding RNA is filed under the name Rattus norvegicus (Norway rat). Lineage: Eukaryota; Metazoa; Chordata; Mammalia; Rodentia; Muridae. The record is from RNAcentral.
UAGGACACAUGUACUCUGCUUUAGGCUCA